This 1548-nucleotide long non-coding RNA is filed under the name Lupinus angustifolius (narrow-leaved blue lupine). RNAcentral describes it as "long non-coding RNA (LANG_LNC002410)". Lineage: Eukaryota; Viridiplantae; Streptophyta; Magnoliopsida; Fabales; Fabaceae. The record is from RNAcentral.
GCAUGUGCAUCUCAUAUUAGCAAAUGGCAAAUUCUUUUAAGAAUAUUGUUUAUUUAAUUUUGCAAUAGAGAGCUACUAUUUUUUCCUAGUUUAAUAUCUACUAGUGGUAAUAAAAUCAUAUGGAUGGAAGAAUACACAAGGUGUAGAUGGAUUGAGUUAAUGGCUAUAUAGCUGGCUCUGUACACUUAGUCAGAGAAGUGGCUCAGAAUUAUAUUGGUUGCAGUGAGUGUAGUGUAUUGUGUGGGUCACUUUAUUACAAAACAUAAACAAAAGUAACACUUUGAUCAAGUUGGAGGAACUCGAUGGCCAUGCUUGUUGGUGAUUGAAACACAUCUAGGACACCUUGAUUUUGACUUGUCAAUAUUUUUCAGAUUUUCAGGUACAUGUUUCAAGCAACCUUGGAGUCUUUCUGCAAUAAAUAAUGACAAAGUAUUUUUAUUAUUCUUCAACUUCUAAUAGCAAGAGAUUUUUAUGGUUUAAGUAGAGUUUAAUAUCUAUACAUAAUUAGUAUAUAGUUUUUUAUACAAUUAAUAUACUUAUCAUAUAUUUAUUUAUUGCUUUUGUUCAAGAGUUAAGGAUAAUUAAGAUAUUAAUAAUAUAUUAAUAAUAUGCUGAUGUUGUAAAAUCACUUAUGCUCUAAUCAUACAUAUUAAUUCAUCUGAAGUGUCAAUUCUCAUCCUCUUUUCCUUGUAAAAGGAAAAGAAAAUUUUGCUGGUUACUCACAUGUGCUUAUAUUUUUUAUACAACUAAGUAAAUCAUCUCAUUUUAUUCUAUGAAUAAAAGAAUUAAUCUAUUUGUCUUUAGCCUUUUAGCCUAUUUUUGAUCUAGGGAGUUUUUACACCAUUAAAUAACACUUUGGUAAUUCAUGUAUGCUUAUAUACUAACAAUGUUAAAUGUAUCUCACCACACAUGAUUUUUAUAUAAUUUUUGUUAGCCAGUUGAAUAUACAUACUAUACUUUUGUAGAAUUAUAAUAAUAAUAAAAAUUAAAUUUACAUAAAUUAUAGUGAUUUGUGUCACUGUAAACAGGAAAUAUUAAAUUUGUAGUUCCAUAAAAAGGCAGUAUGUAAAUAAUUAAUACAUUUGUGAUUGUUUUUAUAGUUUUGCAGAGCCUAUUAAAAUAUUAGACGUGCAAUUGGAGUCAGAAAUCCUGCAUUCUUGUCGAUCACAAUACCGGGGCCUGACCCAGAGGUUGGAACUUGAAUCUACUAUAAUAACGUUGUAAUGUUUACAUUAAAAUCUGGAGACUCAAAAUCUACACACUUUUUUCUCUUCAAUCUUAUUUUACCCAAAAUUCAUUUAAAAGUAAGAGAAAAAAAUAUAUCCACUAAUAGUAUAUGUGUUUUAUAUAUUGUUAUUUUAUCAUUCAUUAUUUAUUUUUAAUCACCAUUUUCAAAAACAAUAAUACAAAUACAUAGUGAAUGAUAUAUUGAUUAUGUAUAAAUAUUUAUACUGAUAAUAUAUAAAUAUCACAUUCUAAAAAUAAUAUGUUAGACAGAUUGGACCUCCAGGUAUUUGGGCAAUGUGAAAAGCUGAGGUUAAAAUCCCC